Molecule: ribosomal RNA, 307 nt
Filed under: uncultured eukaryote
Lineage: Eukaryota
Description: partial 18S ribosomal RNA
Rfam family: Eukaryotic small subunit ribosomal RNA
Source: RNAcentral
CCCUUAGACGUUCUGGGCCGCACGCGCGCUACACUGACACAGGCAACGAGCUUUCCUUUACCGAAAGGUAUGGGUAAUCUUUUGAAACUGUGUCGUGCUGGGGAUAGAUCCUUGCAAUUUUUGAUCUUAAACGAGGAAUUCCUAGUAAGCGCGAGUCAUCAACUCGCGUUGAUUACGUCCCUGCCCUUUGUACACACCGCCCGUCGCUACUACCGAUUGAAUGGCUUAGUGAGGCCUCAGGAUCCGCGCCUAAUGUGUGGAGAAUUUGGACAAACUACGUCAUUUAGAGGAAGUAAAAGUCGUAACA